GAUUAGCUCAGUUGGUUAGAGCGCCACCUUUACACGGUGGAUGUCGGGGGUUCGAAUCCCUCAUCGCC
This 68-nucleotide transfer RNA is filed under the name Bifidobacterium adolescentis. It matches the Rfam family "tRNA", at positions 5 to 66 of the family's 71-position model. From Rfam's summary of the family: Transfer RNA (tRNA) molecules are approximately 80 nucleotides in length. Their secondary structure includes four short double-helical elements and three loops (D, anti-codon, and T loops). Further hydrogen bonds mediate the characteristic L-shaped molecular structure. tRNAs have two regions of fundamental functional importance: the anti-codon, which is responsible for specific mRNA codon recognition, and the 3' end, to which the tRNAs corresponding amino acid is attached (by aminoacyl-tRNA synthetases). tRNAs cope with the degeneracy of the genetic code in two manners: having more than one tRNA (with a specific anti-codon) for a particular amino acid; and 'wobble' base-pairing, i.e. permitting non-standard base-pairing at the 3rd anti-codon position. The record is from RNAcentral. Lineage: Bacteria; Bacillati; Actinomycetota; Actinomycetes; Bifidobacteriales; Bifidobacteriaceae. RNAcentral also lists the same sequence under 5 other names.